CUGGUUGUAGCUCAGUGGGGAGAGCGCCGCAUUUGGGAUGCGGAGGCCGUAGGUUCGAGACCUGCCAAUCAGA
RNAcentral lists this transfer RNA (73 nucleotides) under Streptomyces sp. H39-S7. RNAcentral describes it as "tRNA-Pro". It matches the Rfam family "tRNA". Rfam says of the family: Transfer RNA (tRNA) molecules are approximately 80 nucleotides in length. The record is from RNAcentral. Lineage: Bacteria; Bacillati; Actinomycetota; Actinomycetes; Kitasatosporales; Streptomycetaceae.